UGAGUCUCGUAGAGGGGGGGUAGAAUUCCCAGGUGUAGCGGUGAAAUGCGUAGAGAUCUGGAGGAAUACCCGGUGGGCGAAGGCGGCCCCCUGGACGAAGACUGACCGCUCAGGUGCGAAAGCGUGGGGAGCAAACAGGAUUAGAUACCCCUGGUAGUCCACGCCGUAAACGAUGUCGACUUGGAGGUUGUGCCCUUGAGGCGUGGCUUCCCGGAGCUAACGCGUUAAGUCGACCGCCUGGGGAGUACGGCCGCAAGGUUAAAACUCAAAUGAAUUGACGGGGGCCCGCACAAGCGGUGGAGCAUGUGGUUUAAUUCGAUGCAACGCGAAGAACCUUACCUGGUCUUGACAUCCACAGAACUUUCCAGAGAUGGAUUGGUGCCUUCGGGAACUGUGAGACAGGUGCUGCAUGGCUGUCGUCAGCUCGUGUUGUGAAAUGUUGGGUUAAGUCCCGCAACGAGCGCAACCCUUAUCCUUUGUUGCCAGCGGUCCGGCCGGGAACUCAAAGGAGACUGCCAGUGAUAAACUGGAGGAAGGUGGGGAUGACGUCAAGUCAUCAUGGCCCUUACGACCAGGGCUACACACGUGCUACAAUGGCGCAUACAAAGAGAAGCGACCUCGCGAGAGCAAGCGGACCUCAUAAAGUGCGUCGUAGUCCGGAUUGGAGUCUGCAACUCGACUCCAUGAAGUCGGAAUCGCUAGUAAUCGUGGAUCAGAAUGCCACGGUGAAUACGUUCCCGGGCCUUGUACACACCGCCCGUCACACCAUGGGAGUGGGUUGCAAAAGAAGUAGGUAGCUAACCUUCGGGAGGGCGCUUACCAC
This 823-nucleotide ribosomal RNA is filed under the name Escherichia coli. Its description in RNAcentral is "bacterial SSU rRNA". It matches the Rfam family "Bacterial small subunit ribosomal RNA", at positions 642 to 1460 of the family's 1533-position model. The record is from RNAcentral. Lineage: Bacteria; Pseudomonadati; Pseudomonadota; Gammaproteobacteria; Enterobacterales; Enterobacteriaceae.